Long non-coding RNA from Panicum virgatum (switchgrass), 5208 nucleotides. RefSeq lists it as uncharacterized. The transcript is spliced from 3 exons. Lineage: Eukaryota; Viridiplantae; Streptophyta; Magnoliopsida; Poales; Poaceae. The record is from RefSeq and is a predicted model, not a curated record.
ACCCGCUCCGCUCCGCCCCAGCGCGACCCCCCAUGAACCGCCAGAGCUGGCCCGCCCCUCCGCGGCUUCAGUUGGUUUAGGCGGCCCGUUCCCAACCCUACUCCGCCCCCGGCAAACCGCGGCCGGCGCCCCCGCCGCCGCCGCCGCCGCUGACCACCGCCUGCCGGCCAACCGCAGCCAGCGGCGACCUUGCCGUCACAAUUCCUUGCGGCGCCGCCAUUUCCCAGCCUCCGCCGCUCCUCCGCGCACGCCUCAACUCCGCUGCGCAACCACCGCCGUCCAACCCGCCGCCUGACCUACCUCGGUUGCGCAUUUCUGGGCUCCUAUUGUUCGGGUUUCUGGCUCCGUUGGAAGAUGCGAAAGGCUAAAGGACCGGAGCGGCGAGAUCCAAGGAAGAGGACAGGCAGGUUCUGGGAAACAUAUGCCGAGAUGACAGAAACGGAGCGAGGGAAGCGAAGAACCAAAUGUCCCAAUAUGUGGAUGCAAUGGCCGCGUUCGGGCGACAUGGUGCUUGCUGGAAGAAGAUUCCGGGAUGGUGUUUGCCGGAAUAGUUGGUCUGGUGGCACUGCUGCUCGGCCACGGAGCAGUCGGCCAUUGAAGGUGGUCACGCCGAUGUGGCCAUUGCUCAAUUCACCUUUCUUCACUGCAGAUAUUUGUAUUAUCCUAGUUACUGCUCGCCAUAAGGAACUGAUAAGACGGAGAAGGGUCUGGCAAAUUGCAUUUGAAGAUCAAGAAAAGAUAUAUUCAAAAUUUGCGGAAGGGACGCUGUUGAGAAGUGCAAAGGCUUUGCCAUUGGCAACCAGGACACCAAAUAAAGAAAUGCUCAGAAGCCCUGGAAAAUGAGCUUCAGGACAUGAAGAAGUCAUGCAGUGGGAUUAUGCGGGUGCUUAACAUGAGUUUCCAGCGCAUGUCUUUGUACUUUGAAUGGUGUUCCAUUGCCCUGUCAACUGUCAUUAAAGACGCUCAUUGUCCUAUUGUUCCCUCAAGAAAACUCACUUGUAAAUAUGAGAUACCAUACUGUGCACAGCUCCCUUUUCCCUACAACAGAGUCCAAACUUGCUCUCAGUGCUUUUGUGUAAUCACUCAGUUACUAGAUGUGCUCCAUUGACAACUUGCAUGGUAUGUCCCAUUGCUCUUUAAAUGGCAUAAUAUUAGAUUCUGUAUGAAAUGGCCAAUGGCCUAUUUUUACAAGUAUAUUUUGCAUUAUGAUCAUAUAUCAGCGAGCUAACAGUGUUUUUUGUUUAACCUCUAUGGUUCAUAUACAAAUUUUCGUUUCAAUUGACUGGGCAUACAUUCAACCAGUCUUGCUCCUAAGUUCCUUUUUCUGUUCACUUCAUGUAUGGGCCCUUCAUUUUUACACUAUAAUAACAAUGUACUAAAAUGGGCCUGAAUAAUGCAAUUGGUGAAAGGCAAGUAUUUUCCAUCUGUAUUAUUGUGCCUGAACCUUGAACUUAUUUCUUUCGGGUUUCAUCUCUAGCCUACCCCAACUUGCUUGGGAAAAAAGGCUAUGUUGUUGUUGUUGUUGUAUUAUUGUGCUGCAUAUAUUUUGUCUGACCAAUUGUUUGUUGAUCUCAUCUGAUAAGUGAUUGGAAGUUUCUUAUGGCUACUAACACUUAUAUUUGCUUUAUGCAUGUAUGUGUUUAAUUUGCAUGUCUCAUGUAUUGUAUCAUGAAUUUUCCCUUCUUUUUUAUUGAUACAAAAAGUGAAAUGAAUAGCACUGGAAUUGUAUGAAUAGACUUCAUAGUGCCUGUGACUGCCAUAUUCCUUGUUAAUUUAUUAAGGAAUGUGUUUUUUUGCUCCAUGAGAAAGCAAUGGUUACACAUCAAACAGUACAGGGGCACAACCAACAAAAGAUAAUUCUAGCUAAUAACAAAUUCUUAUCCUUGGAAAUAUUAUUCUGGAGAAAAGGUAUCCCUGUUGGUGAGAAUAAAGCUUCUUACUCCUUAUGCUAGGAAUUUUGAAUUAGAUCUAACUGAAGCUGCAUGAACUGAUCAACUAUGUCUUGCUAUCAGCAUGCAGAACAUCAGCAACCGAUAGAAAACCAAAGAAAUGACCAUACAUAUAUGAGAAAUAUGCAGCAAUGCAAUAAAGUAACCUGAUAAUUGCGUUACAGUAACUCACAUCCUGCUAAGUGUUUCCACCUGUAGGCAAUUUAUUCAUCAGCUAAAAGUAGCAUCUGUACUAUAGAUUCCAUAGUUGGCCUUUUGUUCCUGUCUUCAUCCAAGCAUGAGACAGACAAUCUGAUCAGUGUCUUUACCUGCAUGUAGUUGAAUUGUCCGUUCAGCCUGCAAUCCACAACCUCAGCGAUUGAAGAGGGUUCCUCUCUAUCCAACAUAUCAGCAAGCGUUCCUACAAGCUUCCUGAGCACCCUAUGCACCUCUUCAUCAGCACCUACAGCCAGGUCGAGAACUCGUUUACCCAACAGUAGCUCAAGAAGCAAAACCCCAUAGCUAUACACGUCAACUUUGGCCGUGAUCUUAAGGCUGCUGAUCCACUCUGGAGCGAUAUAGCCUAUGGUUCCUCGCACUCGUGACACAUUCUGAUCGGUUCCACCUCUGUUCAACAGUUUCGCCAACCCAAAGUCGGCAAUCUUGGGUUCUAGAUUCUGAUCCAAGAGUAUGUUCUCCGGUUUCACGUCACAGUGUAUUACCCACUCAAGACAUUCAUGGUGAAGAUAAGCCAAACCCUUCGCUACACCUAAUGCAAUAUUAAACCUCUGCCUCCAUUCUAGCAGAAUGUUUUCCUUGAAUAGGAUGUUAGCUAAUGAUCCGUUCUCAAUAUACUCAGUGACUAACAUUCUGUGGCAGCUUUCAGAGCAAAACCCCCAUAUCCUUACUAGAUUCAUAUGAUUGAUUCUACCAAUUAUGCGCAAUUCUGCUUGAAACUCCUCCUCGCCUUGCCUUACAUUCUCCAGCGUCUUAACAGCCACUCCUCGACGGUCAUCCAACAUUCCCUUGUAGACAAUCCCUGAGCCUCCUCUUCCAAGCUCUUCUUUGAAUUUUCCAGUUGCCUUCACCAACUCUUUAUAACUGUAUCUUCUGAAAUUACUAGCCAUCCUGUACCUUUCUUCGACAGCCUGUAUUUCUGAUGCUCCCAACUCCUUUCUCAAAACAAAGCACCAUACAGAGACAAUGAAGAAAACUUCAAGAACAAAAAUUGCACCUGCAAACCCGUACAAGUAAAACCAUUUUGCUUCCCCCUGACUGGCCUUGUGAAUCUCUGGAAAUGUGCUCAUCUGUCUGCAAUCAGGAUGGUACUUUCUUGAAACAAGAAAAUCAAUUCGGGGAACAGAGAUGCCUGAAAUAUUAACACUCAUGUGGAGCUUGAGAUACAUGGUGCGAUAUGACUCAUUAGGCGUGUAUGCCUUCCCGCUGAAAAGGAAAGACUUUAGAUAGCAUGACCCUGUUCCUUGCCAGUACACAAAGCCUUUGCAGGUGCAGUCCAUCCAACAUAUGUUCUUGCAAGCCUCCAAGGAUACAGAAUUAAGAUGCAGCUGAUCAGAUCCCCAAAAGUCGGUGCCUGGAAGUCGCACGAACUGGACAGGUUGCACUUGGUCAACGGCACAGCUAAUGUACAUCCUUGGCUCCAGUUCCCAGGGUUGUUCAUCACAUAACCGGGUGGGCAAGAGCAUGUAGGUGCAGGCAAGUAGCGGCAGAUCCCAUUUGGACCACACAAGCCAUGAAUAUUGCAGGGCUGAGACAUUGCAGUCCAUGAAACCGACCAUCUCCCAUCUGAACUGUCCAUGCUGUAGAGCCGGAGAUUGCCAUCCGGAUCCAGAGUGAGCCUUCUUUUGAUCCCAAGACCUUGAUCAGAGGCAACAAGUGCUUGCUGGUUGGCAAAAUCACUGGAAAAGAAAAUUCCGGUAUCAUCUAGACCCCCAAACAUUGUCAUGUUAUACUGAAUCCUGUUAUUCUGAUACAACGUAUUGUCAGGGUUUGGCCAAUAUAUUUCAUGAACAUCGGCAUCAUCAUAUAAAAGGGACAAUAUCGACGAGUCCGUGUAAUGGAAUAUGAAGUGACCUGGGACAUGCAAUCCAGUGGUGGGGACCAGCUUCGUGGUUGCAGUUAUGCGCUGGCCGGGCAGCAGGGUGUCUGUUGGUGAAUCGAAGCUCUGCCAAACAAUAAUGCCGGCGGAGUUCGGUGGUUUGGUUACAGGGACUUUUUUUAGUCCCUGAAACUUUUUAGUAUUUAGAAGUAUUAAAUAAAAUUUAAUUAUAAAACUAACUGCAGAACCCUGGGGCUAAAUUGCGAAACGAAUCUAAUGAGGUAUAUUAAUAUAUGAUUAGCGGAUGAUAUUGUAGCUUCACUGUAGCAAAUUAUGAAUUAAUUAGGCUCAUUAGAUUCGUCUCGCGAAUUAGCACUCAGCUGUCAUUCCUGUCAAAAAACAUUUAUAAACAGAUUUUAUUUAAUACUAUAAAAUAUAAUAUUCUUUUUAAUGUGAUAGGGACUUCUGAAAAAAGUUUGGAACAGAGCCGACAAGGUUCCCGGUGUGCAGGAGCUGAGCAUACUGCACGCCUACUGAGUUGUCGCCUUGGGCCUUCCACACCACCACACCGUCGUAGUCCAUGAGGACCAGGGCGCUGCCUUUCUUCAGGGUGACUGCCGCCCCCCUGGCAUGCACGGGGCGGCCGCGGUUUGCUGUCCAGACGACGGUCUUGCUUGAGUGAGUGUACCAUAUCGAGAAGGUGAAGGCGUUGGUGUAGAUGCUGUUGAAGCCGCAGGUGAAAGUGCCGUCCCGCGAACGCAGGAUGUCCGUCUGGUACUUGUCGACGGAGAGCGAGGAUCCCAGCAGUAGGGUGUCUCGAGGCGCAGCACUUGAGAGGAGGGGAUGCAGUGAUAAUAGGAAUGGAAGAAUGGCGAGGGAUGUUGCCAUGGCUGAAGUCUGAACAGAUGGUAGGGCUGAUGAGAGGGCUGCUUCUCAGGUUCUCUUAUGCCCAAGCUGCACAUCUCAAGUCUCCUCUCAUGCGAUAUCCGCGAGCACGGAGGGUAGGCGUUCAGGAUCACAGCCAUAUUCAAAGCUGUUCCUCAUGUUUAACAUGGUUGACUGGAGUCAAUGAGAAGGCAGGUUUUCGAAGGGGGGAAUGCACAUGGCUUUAGCUUCUGCCCCUGGUCAAAUUUGGACAGCUACUCAUGGGGACUCUGACAGAGACUGAUGUGAGUUUUCCAAACGGAUGGGUUUCAAUUUGGAGUCGUUGCAGUCAAGGUCAAC